UACGGAGGGUGCAAGCGUUAAUCGGAAUUACUGGGCGUAAAGCGCACGCAGGCGGUCUGUCAAGUCGGAUGUGAAAUCCCCGGGCUCAACCUGGGAACUGCAUUCGAAACUGGCAGGCUAGAGUCUUGUAGAGGGGGGUAGAAUUCCAGGUGUAGCGGUGAAAUGCGUAGAGAUCUGGAGGAAUACCGGUGGCGAAGGCGGCCCCCUGGACAAAGACUGACGCUCAGGUGCGAAAGUGUGGGGAGCAAACAGG
This 253-nucleotide ribosomal RNA is filed under the name uncultured bacterium. RNAcentral describes it as "partial 16S ribosomal RNA". It matches the Rfam family "Bacterial small subunit ribosomal RNA", at positions 524 to 776 of the family's 1533-position model. The record is from RNAcentral.